This 64-nucleotide transfer RNA is filed under the name Cavia porcellus (domestic guinea pig). It matches the Rfam family "tRNA". From Rfam's summary of the family: Transfer RNA (tRNA) molecules are approximately 80 nucleotides in length. Their secondary structure includes four short double-helical elements and three loops (D, anti-codon, and T loops). Lineage: Eukaryota; Metazoa; Chordata; Mammalia; Rodentia; Caviidae. The record is from Rfam by way of RNAcentral.
AGGGAUUUAGCUCAGUGGCACAAGCACUUGCCUGGCAAGCAUGAGAUUGUAAAUUCAAUCCCUG